AUGUGCUCAAGUUUGGACGCCAGAGAGGAAUAACCAGAUUCCUCGAGCUUCUCUUGAAGCUGAAACACAAAAACAGUUAUCAGGCGUCGUCGGCGGGGUUACUAGGUGAUAGGAUUGUGACGUGUCUUCACGUGCAACAAUACAUUCAGAAUCUUGUUUAGAAUCUAAUUCUUUCGCGAGCUGUCAAUGGUUCGCAAAAAAGUAAAAUCGAGCAUGUUUCCAAUAAGUUGAAGAGAGCUGACGGGAACUUGUGACAAAUCAUUAGAAUAUCAUAUAGCACGCGGCUAAUUGGUUAACGAAAUUCAAGACGUCACAAUUGUAACUUCCAAAGCUCUAGCCUGCACAGAAAGCGCAAGUGGCCGAGGAAAAGAAGACGAGGCCGAGCGCUACAGGGGGUAAGGUGGAAUUAAAGACCUUCUGCCCUCUCUUUCUGUUUUCCUUUCCCUUCGCCAUAUGGCGCUUGGCGAUCUCCUUUACACCCCAGCGCUUCUUAUGAUUCUUACCUGAUCCUGAUAUUUGGUGGCGUAGUUGAAGAGUUCUUUGAGUGCAUUAUCCGCAUUGAAUUCACUGCUGUAUUGCUGUAAGACAUUCGAUACAAAAAGCGUCAGCAAUUUGAGAACGUCCUCUUCCCAAGUUUGUAUGUGCAUGGAUGUCUUGGGCUGGCCCUUUCCCUCGAUAAGGGUUGUCAGUUGUUUUUAUCAUAUCAUUUUGUAUAAGUUUUUAUAUCGUAUCUGGGAGCCAAUCGUGUUUUAGUUUGUACAACUAUUAUGUGCUGCCCGCGUUAAAAUAAAAUUCACCAUGAUCAUUAUUAUCAUCAUGGGAAUCAUGAUCAUUAUUAUCAUCAUUAUUUUUUCAUAAUUUUAAUAUUAAAAUAUCUUCUUUAUAAUUACUAGCAUAAGAAUUCAGAUAAUACGGAUGUUAUUAAAGAACUUUUCUAUAUCA
Molecule: long non-coding RNA, 942 nt
Organism: Nematostella vectensis (starlet sea anemone)
Lineage: Eukaryota; Metazoa; Cnidaria; Anthozoa; Actiniaria; Edwardsiidae
Exons: 2
Source: RefSeq, a predicted model, not a curated record